CUCCCCCCUCCCACGCCCGGCCGCUCCUGGUGACCCACGCGGUGACCUGCCAGCGUGAUGUCCGACUUGGCUGUCUGCACGGUCACCGCGGAGAGCCAGGCCCCGGGGAGGGCCGCGGAGGGGCGCGCGCCCAGCAGAUGCUUAUGUGAGACCUCACUUUGCUGAAGCAGGUACCCAGGGCUGCUUUAAAGGAGGCCCGGUAAGCAUCAGGAAGAACACGGGUGGGGUAGGUCUCUCCCGGGUUUCGGGCAGCCUGGGGUCUCCAGUGGGCAGGGGUGGGUCUGGCUCACCCAGCCCCCACUCUGAGGCUCCACUGGGCUGGGCUUUGUUUUUUCCUUUGGGGCCAAAAAAUAAAAGUUGGAAAACAGCUGCAUUGGAGACCACUGAGAACAGCGUAAACCAUCCCCAAGGGGCUUGGGUCUGACGGACUGAGUUUCUGGGCCACUUGGAAAGCCCCUCCCUCAGUGCAGAGUCAGAGGAGGCUGGCUCCAUCUUCCGAGCGCCCCUCUGCCUCAGUUUACCCGUUGUGAUGUAGGGCUGACAGCAGCUCCAACCUCCCGGGGUUGUGAGCAUGAGAUGCCCUAACACACAGCGCUCUGACAUGGCCGUGUUCACUGUCUUGUCCUGUUUUUCACUCACCUACCUUCUCCUUGCUCGGAAGAGCUAUCCUCCAGCUUUUUACCUUUUUUCCUUCGGCCAGGCAAAGCUCUUUUUCUCUCUGCUUUUGCCCUUGAUGAAAGAGCCUCCCUUUGUUUUUCUGCUUUGAGUCUCCUUUCUGCUCCCCACCAAAUCUGGAUGGAGAAAUGGCACUCGGCCCACCAACAGCAAGACCCCCGGUUCUUUUAUCUUCUGAUCAGAAGGAGAGCGUACUGGGUUCUUGGCUUUGAAGGCGUGAGGCGAGAGCUUCUGUUCUUCCCAGUGGCUUCUUGAUGCUCUUAUCAAACAGCCUCUGUCUAUUCUGAAACACUUUGAAAGAAUAAAGUGUCUCAAGGUCCAAAACAUGACCCUGUAGUGAAUGGGAAAAUGAGUGGUUAUUGCAGACCUACUGUGUACAAAGCACCGUUUGGCGCUGCAGGAGACUUCAAGGUGAAUCAAACAGUCUCUGCCUUUUAGUGGAGGAAGAACUCAGAGUAAUAGUACCCAGUGCUUAGAUAGUAAUAGUACUCAGUGCUUAUUGCCAAAGGCAGGAUGUGAGAGGGGCCCUAUAAUAAUGCAGAGCAAAUGUCUUGGAAGCAGGGAGCUGAGGACAAUUCUGGAAGCCCAGCAAGGGGAGCCUUUUGGAGAUGGUGGUGGGAAGACAUUCUAGCCAGACAGAUGGAACGAAGGGGGUGGCGGCAAGUGCCGUGUGGUUGGUUGCAGUGCGGGAUGAUGUGGGUGCUAAAGCCCGAGAGGCUUCCCGGGGCUAGCUGAUGAGAGGCCGGCCUGGAACAGCCGGCUAAGAAACAGGAAAUCGGGACACAAUGUGGUUUCAGCGUGCCAGGGUCCGACCUUGGGGCUGUGGUGUGCCUCCCCAGAUGGCCAUUCACUCACUGCCUUCAGGUUCUGGUCUGAAGGGCAUCUCCUCAGGGAGACCUUUCCUCCCAUGCCUAGCCAAGCCAGUGGCACUGGGAGCUGGGGAGGACAAUCCAGGUGUUCAGAAACUAAGGGCUGAAAUUGUAUAUAGGUAGGGUGGUCAUCUGAGAGGACAUGUGACAUUCAAGUAAAGAUGUAGAGAAGAUAACUCGGGAAGAGCCCUCCAGACAGAGGGCACAGCAUGUGCAAAGGCCCUGAGGCAGGAGCCCUUUGGGACUGGUCUAUGAUUAGUAGCAGUAAAAAAGCUUACAGAGAGCCCAAGAGCUUUUGCUGGAGGAGAGAGGUAAUUGCAUUAACUAUAGAAUUACAGGUACUGCCGGCAGCAGCUUCGCAGAAGAAAAAUGUCUCUAAAUGUUUUUUUUGCGGGGGGGAGGGUUUUGUUGAGCUGGUGAUCUCUGGUCAGUUAAGAAGAGAGUUUUCCUGAGCUGACAGAGGUUUCGUUUGGUUGGAGUAACUAAGGAUCAUGUUUGUUUUAAGGUGUGUUCUUUCCUGGCUCCUGAGGUUUGUAGAAUUUCGGGUGUGGCUCAACACAGUCUUCUAAAAUAUUUAUUGCUCUAAAAGGAUGGCGUAAUUGAAUAUGCAACCUGUAAAUAUCUGUCAAACAAUUCUUCAGCAAUAUUCAAAGUGUGCUCUGCUGUCUCGUACAUUUAUGCGUGUUUUGUUCCCACUGACACUGGGGCAAUGGAAGCUACCACACUUCUUCUUAAUUCUUCACUUCUCUCUCAAGGUUCAGCCUUACAGCCCUGACAGCUCUGCAGACAGUACUGAAACCAAAGGAAGUGUCUGUGCUGUGUUCACUGUUACAGAACGGCAGUUUGAAUGUCAGACAGCUGCUCUUGUACCAAAUUAGGCCCAAUUAUGCUAAAUUUAAAAUAUUGUACUCCUUUCUUUUCUUUUUUUAAUUUAUUUUUAUUUAUUGAUUUUUGGCCAUGCCCCGCGGCUUGCAGGAUUUUAGUUUCCCGACCAGGGAUUGAACCCUGGCCCCCGGCAGGGGAAGCGUGGAGUCCUAACCACUGGACCGCCAGGGAAUUCCCACUCCUUUCUUGAUAUAAUUCUUCUCAUGCAUGUUUAAAUUCCAGGGCCUCUUGCUGAAGUUUUUCGAAGGCCUCUCCAGCCAUUUGCUCUAUGGCUCAGGAAGGCCCACACUGCAGACCCAGUAUGGGGGUGUCUCCCUUUGCUCCUGGGGGGCUUAAAUGUUUCAUAGAUUUGUAGCAGUGACUGGGACCUUUAACUUGACAUAUACGUGAGAAAUGUUUUGUUUCUGUUUUUGUUGGUUUUUUGAAUGCCAUAGUAAGAUUUAUAAACUUUGGAAUCACCUUUCCCUAAAAUGAGAAUCAAGUUUGAACUCACACCCCCUUCUGCAUUUACCAGGCCUCAGUAUUCAUGGGUUUGCAUGCGCUUAGAACUGGCUAGUUGGUACUGAAAGUGAAUUCUGGCCUCAGGCCUCCAUACGUCUGUCGAGGGUCAUCCAGCAGAGAAGGAGCCUGGCUUUGCUGUUUAGGGAUGUAUCAGUAUGUUAGUGUGUUAGCUGCACAUUCUGAAGUGUGGGAAGGGGGGUGAGAAGGGAGAAUAAGCAAAUUAGACUGGGAGCCCAGGGGGCCAGACCAGGGAAGCUGGAGUGAGUCUGGGAAAGCCUGGGCUUGGGACGGGCAGGCUGACAGGUGUUGGCCUCUUCCUUUCUCCACUGACCAAGAUGGCUGCUCUGGGCCCAGAAGCAGUUGAGAGGCUCAUUUGUUUUGUUUUUUCAUUUUUUUUAAAAAAAAGGACACAGUUUUUUAAAGAGCAGUUUUAAGUUCACAGCAAAAUUGAGGGGAGGGCAUAGAGAUUUCCCAUAUAGCCCCUACCCAGCCCCCCAGGCAUAUUCUGCCCCGUGCCCCCAUUGUCAGCAUCCCCCAUCAGAGUGGUACAUUUGUUACAACUGAUGAACCUCCACUGACACAUCCUAAUCAGCCAAAGUCCACAGUUUACGUUAGGGUUCACCUUUAGUGUUGGACGUUCUGUGGGUUUGGACAAAUGCGUGAUGAUGCUUAUCCAUCACUGUAGUAUCGUAUAUUGUCCCACGUGUUCUUCAUGUAAGUGUAUCAGUUAUCUAUGGCCACAGCAAUGCUGCAUAACAAAUAACUGUGAAACCUCAUGGGUGUAUACACCAGUCACAUUUUGCUAAGGGUGGCCCAGCUCAGCCAGUCUCAGCUGGAUUUGCUUUUAGCUGGGGUUGGCUGCAGAUGGCAGGACUGGGAAGGUCUUGGCUGGGGUGGCUGGUCUCUGCUCCAUGUGAUUUCUUGUCCUCCAGCAGGCUGGCCCAGGUUUGUUCUCCAUGGCAGGGCUCCCAGGAAGCAAGCAGAGCAAAUAAGGUUCAGCGUCAAUUCUGCUGAAAGAAGUUACAAAGCCAAGCCCAGAUUUACCCUCUAAGUGUGAAUUUGCUUUUGUUUGUAAUGAAUGCUGUUCACUAACCCUAAGCAUUUCUGUUUACCUAAAAUUUAUUUUUAUUGAAAAACAUUUCAGAUAGGUGCCCAAGAAGAGGAUAUCAAGACCCUCCCAUGUGCUAAUCAUUCAGCAUCAACAAGCGUCAGCCCCUGAAGGCCGGCUUUAAUUUUGAUGGAAAGGAUUAUAGGAUUUAAUGCCGCUUUUGGGGUGUGUGUGUGUAUGAAGGUUUCAGAAACCUAGGAGGACAAUUGUCAGGGGGUUUUGAAGCUGGAAUGGAUUUUAGAGGCUAGUGGUCCCCAUCAUUUUGUAGUAGAAGAAAGUGGGGCUCAGAGAAGAGGACAGCUAGAUGUAUCAGGGGAGCUGGGUUCUAGAAUGACCCGGAAGCUAUUCAUGAUCCUUCUUUUGACCCCCCGUGGGCCUCUCCAAGGGGCUUCUGAGCUUCCCACCUUUGCCUCCUGGCUGCCCAUGAGGAAUGGGCUACCUAGAAAUUCUGUGAGGUGGUUUGGGUGAUUUUCAACAUUUGAUUUCUUUUCCACCCUAUGCUUGUAAAGGAGACUAAGGCAGGUGUUAUAAAAAUCUAAAACAAUAAGAGAGCUUAGGGACCCUUUUGGAACCUCAUUUAUUCAUCUAACAUUCAUAUCAAUAUAAUAUGUGAGCUAUUAUUCAAAGCUAUUUUGAAUGACAACUUCUAGUAGAUAUGGCUACAGUUUAGGAAAAGCUUUAAAUGUUAUUUAGCUAAUUGUAAGUUCAAUUCCUCCAAUCAGACCUUUAGGUCAGUAACUGAUGGUUAUAGGAUUGUUCAAAUUUUCUCUUUCUUCCUGAAUCCACUAUGGUAACCUCUAUUUUUCUAGGAAACUGUUCCAUUUUUUUUUCCCCCUGAGUUUUAAAGGUUAAUAGUAUGACGUUUUUACAGAGUUCUCUUUUUAAUCUCUGCUAUAACAUUAUUAUAUCCUGUUUUUCUACAUUUUUGAAUUUAUGCUGUUUAUCUUUUGUGACAUAUUGUCAAAAAUAUUAGUCUUUUCAGAGAAUCAACUUUUGUUCUGGAUCUGUUUCCUUCCUCACUAUUUCAUCAAUUUCUGCUUUUCUUUUUAUUCCUUCCUUCAGGUUUGUUCUACAUGUAACUUUCAAAGUAUCACUUUCAUUUUUUUUCCCCACAAGUUUUGAUAUGUAAUAUUUUAUUAUUGUUGUGUUCUCAUUUACGUUAUGAUUUCCUCUUUUUCUGACCUAGAAGUUAUUUAGAAUGGUGUUUAAAUUUUUAAAAUACAUAUUGUUAAGCUUUAUUAAAAUAUUUAUUUAUUUA
Molecule: long non-coding RNA, 5296 nt
Organism: Orcinus orca (killer whale)
Lineage: Eukaryota; Metazoa; Chordata; Mammalia; Artiodactyla; Delphinidae
Exons: 2
Source: RefSeq, a predicted model, not a curated record